RNAcentral lists this ribosomal RNA (508 nucleotides) under uncultured bacterium. RNAcentral's name for it is "partial 16S ribosomal RNA". It matches the Rfam family "Bacterial small subunit ribosomal RNA", at positions 28 to 507 of the family's 1533-position model. The record is from RNAcentral.
GACGAACGCUGGCGGCGUGCCUAAUACAUGCAAGUCGAACGCUUCUUUCCUCCCGAGUGCUUGCACUCAAUUGGAAAGAGGAGUGGCGGACGGGUGAGUAACACGUGGGUAACCUACCCAUCAGAGGGGGAUAACACUUGGAAACAGGUGCUAAUACCGCAUAACAUUUUAUGCCGCAUGGCAUAAGAGUGAAAGGCGCUUUCGGGUGUCGCUGAUGGAUGGACCCGCGGUGCAUUAGCUAGUUGGUGAGGUAACGGCUCACCAAGGCCACGAUGCAUAGCCGACCUGAGAGGGUGAUCGGCCACACUGGGACUGAGACACGGCCCAGACUCCUACGGGAGGCAGCAGUAGGGAAUCUUCGGCAAUGGACGAAAGUCUGACCGAGCAACGCCGCGUGAGUGAAGAAGGUUUUCGGAUCGUAAAACUCUGUUGUUAGAGAAGAACAAGGACGUUAGUAACUGAACGUCCCCUGACGGUAUCUAACCAGAAAGCCACGGCUAACUACGUG